This 499-nucleotide ribosomal RNA is filed under the name uncultured bacterium. RNAcentral's name for it is "bacterial SSU rRNA". It matches the Rfam family "Bacterial small subunit ribosomal RNA", at positions 28 to 536 of the family's 1533-position model. The record is from RNAcentral.
GACGAACGCUGGCGGCGUGCCUAACACAUGCAAGUCGAGCGGAGAUAGGCGGAAGGUAACUGAAGCUUAUCUUAGCGGCGGACGGGUGAGUAACACGUGGGCAACCUGCCUUGAAGUGGGGGAUAACACCGGGAAAUCGGUGCUAAUACCGCAUAACAUACACAAACUGCAUGGUGAGUGUAUCAAAGGAGCAAUCCGCUUUAAGAUGGGCCCGCGGCUGAUUAGCUAGUUGGUAAGGUAACGGCUUACCAAGGCGACGAUCAGUAGCCGACCUGAGAGGGUGAUCGGCCACAUUGGAACUGAGACACGGUCCAAACUCCUACGGGAGGCAGCAGUGGGGAAUAUUGCACAAUGGGCGAAAGCCUGAUGCAGCAACGCCGCGUGAGCGAUGAAGGCCUUCGGGUCGUAAAGCUCUGUCCUCAAGGAAGAUAAUGACGGUACCUUGAGGAGGAAGCCCCGGCUAACUACGUGCCAGCAGCCGCGGUAAUCUAAGUCUACG